Molecule: non-coding RNA, 26 nt
Filed under: Homo sapiens (human)
Lineage: Eukaryota; Metazoa; Chordata; Mammalia; Primates; Hominidae
Source: RNAcentral
UCAAGGGUUGCUUCUGAGUGGUGUUU